This 253-nucleotide ribosomal RNA is filed under the name uncultured bacterium. RNAcentral's name for it is "partial 16S ribosomal RNA". It matches the Rfam family "Bacterial small subunit ribosomal RNA", at positions 100 to 353 of the family's 1533-position model. The record is from RNAcentral.
GGACGGGUGAGUAAUGUCUGGGAAACUGCCUGAUGGAGGGGGGAUAACUACUGGAAACGGUAGCUAAUACCGCAUAACGUCGCAAGACCAAAGAGGGGGACCUUCGGGCCUCUUGCCAUCAGAUGUGCCCAGAUGGGAUUAGCUAGUAGGUGGGGUAACGGCUCACCUAGGCGACAAUCCCUAGCUGGUCUGAGAGGAUGACCAGCCACACUGGAACUGAGACACGGUCCAGACUCCUACGGGAGGCAGCAUG